ACGGGCCAUGGAAGAUGAGGCCUAGUCCCUGCAAAAGCCGGGGACUAAAGUACCGGGGAAGGCCCAGGAGAAGACUGUGUGGCCAGGGAGGAGAGAAAAAACCAACCAAGGGGGAAGAGAUAGGAGGAAAAACAAUGAAU
Molecule: long non-coding RNA, 140 nt
Organism: Bufo bufo (common toad)
Lineage: Eukaryota; Metazoa; Chordata; Amphibia; Anura; Bufonidae
Exons: 3
Source: RefSeq, a predicted model, not a curated record